CUGUUAUGAUUACUGUUUCCCACAUGUUCCCCCACUGGCUAAUUCCCCAGAGCCGAGCCCGGCAAUCCCGCAUCCUCUUUGAUCCGCAAGGUUCUCCUGCACACACGUCCCGAGCUCCUUCUCCUGCCUGAUGUGCCACCGCCCCGGAUUUGAAUAGGUGAAGUCCCCCAUUAUCCCACACGUUGCCUUGAGCGCAUCUCUGCAUUUUCCCUGCAAACUUGCCUCUCAACAACCUUUCCGCUCCUUGCCCGCACAUUUGACCGAUUUUACAGGCGAGACUCGGUGACAGAAUUUAACCCUCCUUUGACUGUGGAGAGGCGGCCGCGCACUAGGACCCGGCGGCUCCCUGCCGAGACUGGGUCCGCCCGCCGCGGUCGGAGAGCCGAUCCCCGCCGAGCCGGAGCGGCGGGACCCGGGCACUGCAGCGGCGGGUGAGCGGGGAACCGGCGCGGCACGGCGGCAGGAGGCAGCGAGCGGCGGCGGGACGCGGGCGGCUCAGGGUGUGGACACUGAUGCCAACUCCGGCAGUUAUCGUCCAUCUCUAGUUGUCCUGCGACUGAAGAGGCAGUGACAAUUCGACCACUCUGGUGAGCCUGGAGUCAUGUACAAGCCAGACCAGUUUUAUAGGACCCUGAAAAAUCUGUUAAGAAAGAGAAUCUCAUGAGAGUUGCAGUUGCCUUCCAAAGUUGGUUCCAUUUGCUGGGUUCCAGAAAACGUGGUGAUGUCGGCUGUAGAGGAGGAACUCCGGGAGCGAGGG
Molecule: long non-coding RNA, 757 nt
Organism: Pristis pectinata (smalltooth sawfish)
Lineage: Eukaryota; Metazoa; Chordata; Chondrichthyes; Rhinopristiformes; Pristidae
Exons: 3
Source: RefSeq, a predicted model, not a curated record